This 163-nucleotide small nuclear RNA is filed under the name Microcebus murinus (gray mouse lemur). Its description in RNAcentral is "U2 spliceosomal RNA (ENSMICG00000023270.3)". The stretch from base 1 to 103 matches the Rfam family "U2 spliceosomal RNA". From Rfam's summary of the family: U2 is a small nuclear RNA (snRNA) component of the spliceosome (involved in pre-mRNA splicing). The record is from RNAcentral. Lineage: Eukaryota; Metazoa; Chordata; Mammalia; Primates; Cheirogaleidae.
AGUGCUUCUCGGCCGUUUGGCUAAGAUCAAGUGUAGUAUCUGUUCUUAUCAGUUUAAGAUACUGAAGCUUAAAUAAACCAAAGAAUAUGGCUCUUCACUUAUAUGCCAAUGGAAUGUAUACUGUAGCUUUGUAUUCAAGGUUCUCCAAGUUAUGCCUCCCAGA